UGGGAGAGAUGGAAUGAGAGUCAGAGACGAGACAUGGGGAGGAGAUACAGGUCAGGUUCAUCAGACUUUCACUGAUCUGAAGUGAAGCUUGAAAAUGAAGAACUGCAUCUCAUCAUCAUCAUCAUCUGCCUCCUCAAGACAACAGGAUUACUGAACACACAAACUCAGGAGCUUCCUUCUUCUGACGACUAAAAACCACAUAAAUGUUGCUCAGGUUCCUUUAAACUAACUGCUAACUCAUCCACUGAGACACUGAACAAACUACUCGUAUCCUUCCUGGUUUCUGCAGAUAAUGUAUGAUUGUGGAUGUCACACACUGCCUUAUCAAAAAUUAAACUGCAUGAUAUUUCAAGCUA
Molecule: long non-coding RNA, 356 nt
Organism: Oreochromis aureus
Lineage: Eukaryota; Metazoa; Chordata; Actinopteri; Cichliformes; Cichlidae
Exons: 2
Source: RefSeq, a predicted model, not a curated record